UACGUAGGGUGCGAGCGUUAAUCGGAAUUACUGGGCGUAAAGCGUGCGCAGGCGGCGCGUUAAGACAGGUGUGAAAGCCCCGAGCUUAACUUGGGAAUUGCGCUUGUGACUGGCGUGCUGGAGUGUGGCAGAGGGAGGUGGAAUUCCACGUGUAGCAGUGAAAUGCGUAGAUAUCAGGAGGAACACCGGUGGCGAAGGCGGCUACCUGGACAGAAACUGACGCUGAGGCACGAAAGCUAGGGGAGCAAACAGG
This 253-nucleotide ribosomal RNA is filed under the name uncultured bacterium. RNAcentral's name for it is "partial 16S ribosomal RNA". It matches the Rfam family "Bacterial small subunit ribosomal RNA", at positions 524 to 776 of the family's 1533-position model. The record is from RNAcentral.